GGUGGGGUUCCCUCCCGAGCGGCCAAAGGGAGCAGACUGUAAAUCUGCCGUCAUCGACUUCGAAGGUUCGAAUCCUUCCCCCACCACCA
RNAcentral lists this transfer RNA (89 nucleotides) under Escherichia coli O155:H21. RNAcentral describes it as "tRNA-Tyr". It matches the Rfam family "tRNA". Rfam says of the family: Transfer RNA (tRNA) molecules are approximately 80 nucleotides in length. Their secondary structure includes four short double-helical elements and three loops (D, anti-codon, and T loops). Further hydrogen bonds mediate the characteristic L-shaped molecular structure. tRNAs have two regions of fundamental functional importance: the anti-codon, which is responsible for specific mRNA codon recognition, and the 3' end, to which the tRNAs corresponding amino acid is attached (by aminoacyl-tRNA synthetases). tRNAs cope with the degeneracy of the genetic code in two manners: having more than one tRNA (with a specific anti-codon) for a particular amino acid; and 'wobble' base-pairing, i.e. permitting non-standard base-pairing at the 3rd anti-codon position. Lineage: Bacteria; Pseudomonadati; Pseudomonadota; Gammaproteobacteria; Enterobacterales; Enterobacteriaceae. RNAcentral also lists the same sequence under 1 other name. The record is from RNAcentral.